CCUACGGGAGGCAGCAGUGGGGAAUAUUGGACAAUGGGCGAAAGCCUGAUCCAGCCAUGCCGCGUGUGUGAAGAAGGUCUUCGGAUUGUAAAGCACUUUAAGUUGGGAGGAAGGGCAUUAACCUAAUACGUUAGUGUUUUGACGUUACCGACAGAAUAAGCACCGGCUAACUCUGUGCCAGCAGCCGCGGUAAUACAGAGGGUGCAAGCGUUAAUCGGAAUUACUGGGCGUAAAGCGCGCGUAGGUGGUUUGUUAAGUUGGAUGUGAAAUCCCCGGGCUCAACCUGGGAACUGCAUUCAAAACUGACUGACUAGAGUAUGGUAGAGGGUGGUGGAAUUUCCUGUGUAGCGGUAGAAAUGCGUAGAUAUAGGAAGGAACACCAGUGGCGAAGGCGACCACCUGGACUAAUACUGACACUGAGGUGACGAAAGCGGUGGGGAGCAAACAGGAUUAGAUACCCUGGUAGUCCACGACCGUAAACGAUGUACAACUAGCCGUUGGGAGCCUUGAGCUCUUAGUGGCGCAGCUACGCAUUAAGUUAGACCGCCGUGGGGAGGUACGGGCCGGCGUAAACGGUUAAAACGUUAAAAGUUAAAGUAAGUUAGGUUACGGUCGNGAGCGCGACGACGACGACGACGGAGGGAGGAG
This 648-nucleotide ribosomal RNA is filed under the name uncultured bacterium. RNAcentral describes it as "bacterial SSU rRNA". The stretch from base 1 to 548 matches the Rfam family "Bacterial small subunit ribosomal RNA", at positions 338 to 873 of the family's 1533-position model. The record is from RNAcentral.